GGGCUGCAUGGCCUGCAGGCGGGUUUCGGCCUCGCUGUGGCUGGACAUGGUGGCCUGCAGGGCCUGACGGGCCUGUUCCACCCGGGCUUCGGCCUGC
Molecule: transfer RNA, 97 nt
Filed under: Komagataeibacter oboediens
Lineage: Bacteria; Pseudomonadati; Pseudomonadota; Alphaproteobacteria; Acetobacterales; Acetobacteraceae
Description: tRNA-Ser
Source: RNAcentral